UGUCCCAGCCGCCGCGGUAAUACAGAGGGUGCAAGCGUUAAUCGGAUUUACUGGGCGUAAAGCGCGCGUAGGCGGCUAAUUAAGUCAAAUGUGAAAUCCCCGAGCUUAGCUUGGGAAUUGCAUUCGAUACUGGUUAGCUAGAGUGUGGGAGAGGGUGGUAGAAUUCCAGGUGUAGCGGUGAAAUGCGUAGAGAUCUGGAGGAAUACCGAUGGCGAAGGCAGCCAUCCGGCCUAACACUGACGCUGAGGUGCGAAAGCAUGGGGAGCAAACAGGAUUAGAUACCCUGGUAGUCCAUGCCGUAAACGAUGUCUACUAGCCGUUGGGGCCUUUGAGGCUUUAGUGGCGCAGCUAACGCGAUAAGUAGACCGCCUGGGGAGUACGGUCGCAAGACUAAAACUCAAAUGAAUUGACGGGGGCCCGCACAAGCGGUGGAGCAUGUGGUUUAAUUCGAUGCAGCGCGAAGAACCUUACCUGGCCUUGACAUAGUAGGAACUUUCCAGAGAUGGAUUGGUGCCUUCGGGAACUUACAUACAGGUGCUGCAUGGCUGUCGUCAGCUCGUGUCGUGAGAUGUUGGGUUAAGUCCCGCAACGAGCGCAACCCUUUUCCUUAUUUGCCAGCGAGUAAUGUCGGGAACUUUAAGGAUACUGCCAGUGACAAACUGGAGGAAGGCGGGGACGACGUCUAGUCAUCAUGGCCCUUACGGCCAGGGCUACACACGUGCUACAAUGGUCGGUACAAAGGGUUGCUACCUAGCGAUAGGAUGCUAAUCUCAAAAAGCCGAUCGUAGUCCGGAUUGGAGUCUGCAACUCGACUCCAUGAAGUCAGAAUCGCUAGUAAUCGCGGAUCAGAAUGCCGCGGUGAAUACGUUCCCGGGCCUUGUACACACCGCCCGUCACACCAUGGGAGUUUGUUGCACCAGAAGUAGCUAGCCUAACUGCAAAGAG
This 945-nucleotide ribosomal RNA is filed under the name uncultured Acinetobacter sp. RNAcentral's name for it is "bacterial SSU rRNA". It matches the Rfam family "Bacterial small subunit ribosomal RNA", at positions 504 to 1448 of the family's 1533-position model. The record is from RNAcentral. Lineage: Bacteria; Pseudomonadati; Pseudomonadota; Gammaproteobacteria; Moraxellales; Moraxellaceae.